AAUACAUAUCAUUAGUUUAAUAUUACAAAUAAAUAAUAAAAAAUAUUUUUUAUAUAUAAAUUAUUUUUAGCCUAAGCAAUAAUAAUUUUCAAUUUGACAAUAACAUUUCUCUCAAAGAAACAAAGUCGAAGGUGACAGAAAAAUUAGAUCAUCGAACAGCUUGAAAUAGCUUGUGAAGAAUUCCUAUCCACACUUCAUAAAAUCUGUUAUCUGGGCGUUCUACCAAUCACUCGAAAAAAUCCACCGCACUUAAAGAUAUCAGGUAACUGACAAUCCACAUAAUGGAGGGGGGAAAUAGAAGAAUCUAGUCCUAGAACUUUCAGCAUAUGUUAAGGAAACAACUUCCAUCGGAACAAUUGUGUAGAAGGGUAAAACUAAAUAUGUACAAAAGGGGACAAAACCAAAGGACAAACACAGGUUUGCAGUCGGCAGUCUCUCAUGGUUUGCAUGAGCAUGUAAGCAACACUCAGGAUAUACGCUUAUAAUGCAAAUAUAACAUACUACAUGGUAGGACCCGUAUAUAGUUGGUGACACUGCAGGACAACCGCCAGUUUUUUUUCUUACCCAAAAAAAUUAUAUUGCAACAUACUUGAUCCAGUUCUGCUCACGACAACCACAUGAUCCAAGUAAAAUAAGAAAAUACUUGCUCAAUCGAGCUUCACUAUCUUAUCUUCUUCCUGCUGCUUGUCUGGCUCUGCAGGGAAGUAUUUUAUACCCACAAGAUCACCUACUUGGUCAAAAACUUUCAAUGCUUUAACCAGGUCUUCCUUGGUAUGAGAAGCAGAUAUACACACACGUACCCUAGCCAACAAUAGUGGGGUUGCUGGGAAAGCCACCAUCACAACUGCAACAUUCUGCUUCAGGCACUCCCUUGAGAAGGCAGGAAUUUUAGCUGGAUUGUAAAGCAUAAUUGGCACUACAGGAGAGUCAUCGUCUCCAAUAACCUCAAACCCCAUUUUUUGCAAUUCUGACCUAAAAAAGUUGCUGUUCUCACGGAUUUGUGCAAGCUUCUGGGGACCUCUAUUGGAACCAUCCUUCCCAAGAAUAACCUUUAUGGAAGAUUUUACUUGUUCUGCAGCUGGCGGUGAGAUUGAUGUUGCAUAUAGGUGAGCUGGGCAUGUAUACUUCAAGUAUUGAAUAAGCUCCUGCAGGUACAAUGGAACUUUUUCAAACAUUAAAUGCAAACAGAAUAUAAUAUUUCCGACACACCUAAAUAAUGACAUUUUCUAGUGAAAACAAUUGAUAAUACAUCAAGCCAAUUUUAUAAAUUCAUUAUGAUUUCAGAUAGUGCAGUCCGGAAUAUCUUCAAGCAUAAGCAAUUUCACCCAUUUGUUAUCAAUUCACUUGAUUUACUUUCAUUCAUGUACAUUUGUAAUUCGACCUAAGCCUACAGAUUUGAAUCGCUGGAAUGGGGAAUCAACUCGAAUCUUACAAUUCGAAUUGAGAAUUGUAAAAUUCUAACAACGCUGCAAAUGAGACACCAAAAUAAUAAACCUUUGAUCCAGCGAUAUAUCCACCACAUGAUCCAAAUGAUUUAGUAAAAGUUCCCAUCAUGAUGUCCACAUCAGCAGUAUCCACUCCUAGGAGCUCACAGACGCCUUUUCCUGUUUUCCCUACUGCUCCAAUGCUAUGGGCCUCAUCCAAGUAAAUAUAAGCCUUAUAUUUUUUGCAGAUCGCAAUAAUCUCAGGAAGCUUGCAAAGAUCCCCUUCCAUGCUGUAUAUCCCCUCCACAAUUACCAUUAUUUUCUUCCAAGGUCUGUGAGUCCUAGGUUGUCCCUCUGCAAGUUGUUCUCUCAAGACUUCCUCCAAAUGAGAGGGUGCUAUAAAUAACAAAGUAGUUCAGAAACAGAAACACUAGUGGGAAAUGCAAUUCAGACAGUAUUAUUUGCACUUAAAUGGAGCAAGUACCACGCGAACAAACUAUGAGGAAUCCACAGAUAAGGGAAACCAAAAGGCUAAAAGUUCUACAGAACAGCCAUGCAGAUGGACUUUGAUUAACUUGACAACUGAUGACCUGGUAAAAUUAGUAAAACUCACUAUUAUGUUGGAAAACACGAAUAGUAGCUCCAGACCCACGUGCACCAUUUACAAUAGAGUUGUGG
RNAcentral lists this unclassified non-coding RNA (2102 nucleotides) under Hevea brasiliensis (rubber tree). The record is from RNAcentral. Lineage: Eukaryota; Viridiplantae; Streptophyta; Magnoliopsida; Malpighiales; Euphorbiaceae.